GACGUACUGGGCGAACGUUACUCGGAAUCACUGGGCUUAAAGGGUGCGUAGGCGGCCCGUCCAGUCGGGUGUGAAAGGCCUCGGCUCAACCGAGGCAGGGCAUCCGAAACUGACGGGCUUGAGUGCGCUAGAGGUGUGCGGAACUUCCAGUGGAGCGGUGAAAUGUGUUGAUAUUGGAAGGAACGCCGGUGGCGAAAGCGGCACACUGGGGCGCAACUGACGCUGAGGCACGAAAGCCAGGGGAGCGAACGGG
Molecule: unclassified non-coding RNA, 253 nt
Filed under: uncultured Planctomycetales bacterium
Lineage: Bacteria; Pseudomonadati; Planctomycetota; Planctomycetia; Planctomycetales
Description: contains 16S-23S intergenic spacer region
Rfam family: Bacterial small subunit ribosomal RNA
Source: RNAcentral